UGGGGAAUAUUGGACAAUGGGGGGAACCCUGAUCCAGCCAUGCCGCGUGUGUGAAGAAGGCCUUAUGGUUGUAAAGCACUUUAAGCGAGGAGGAGGGUACUGGUAUUAAUACUACCAGGUACUGGACGUUACUCGCAGAAUAAGCACCGGCUAACUCUGUGCCAGCAGCCGCGGUAAUACAGAGGGUGCGAGCGUUAAUCGGAUUUACUGGGCGUAAAGCGUGCGUAGGCGGCUAAUUGAGUAGGAUGUGAAAUCCCCGAGCUUAACUUGGGAAUUGCAUUCGAUACUGGUUAGCUAGAGUGUGGGAGAGGAUGGUUGAAUGCCAGGUGUAGCGGUGAAAUGCGUAGAGAUCUGGAGGAAUACCGAUGGCGAAGGCAGCCAUCUGGCCUAACACUGACGCUGAGGUACGAAAGCAUGGGGAGCAAACAGG
RNAcentral lists this ribosomal RNA (430 nucleotides) under Pseudomonadota bacterium. Its description in RNAcentral is "Proteobacteria bacterium partial 16S ribosomal RNA". It matches the Rfam family "Bacterial small subunit ribosomal RNA", at positions 355 to 776 of the family's 1533-position model. Lineage: Bacteria; Pseudomonadati; Pseudomonadota. The record is from RNAcentral.